Molecule: RNA transcript, 2280 nt
Organism: Hyaena hyaena (striped hyena)
Lineage: Eukaryota; Metazoa; Chordata; Mammalia; Carnivora; Hyaenidae
Gene: PIGQ
Gene name: phosphatidylinositol glycan anchor biosynthesis class Q
Exons: 11
Source: RefSeq, a predicted model, not a curated record
CGGAAAUGGGGCUCGUGUCCCGCGGCGCGGCCGCGGCGGGGCUGGGGGCCGCGAGCGCUGUCGUCCUCCCGGGCCCGCCCGACGCGGUCCCCGACCGCAUCUCGACCUCGCCGCCCGAGGGCGCGGCCCCGGGGAGCAGCCGCUCCCGGCAUGGUGCUCAAGGCCUUCUUCCCCACGUGCUGCGCCUCGGCUGACAGCGGCCUGCUGGUGGGGCGCUGGGUCCCGGAGCAGAGCAGCGCCGUGGUCCUGGCGGUAGUGCACUUUCCCUUCGUCCCCGUCCAGGUGAAGGAGCUCCUGGCUCAGGCGCGCCAGGCCAGCCGGGUGGGGGUGGCCGUGCUGGGCACCUGGAGUCACCGCCGCCAGGAGGCUGCGGAGAGCCUGGGCCGCUUCCUGGAGGGCCUGGGCGCCAUCUUCUCCCACGAGCCCUGGCUCCAGCUGUGCCGGGAGAGGGGCAGCAAGUCCUGGAGCUGCACGGCCACCCGCCGGCAGGUGCCCGCCUGCCCCAGCGCCCCCCAUGAGGACCAGGUCAUGCUUGUCUUCUACGACCAGCGCAAGGUACUGCUGUCCCAGCUGCACCCGCCCGCGGCCCUGCCCGACCGCCAGGCCGGCGAUGCCACGGCCAGUGCCGGCGGCUUGGCUGCCGUCUUUGACACGGUGGCGCGCAGCGAGGCCCUCUUCCGAAGUGACCGGUUCGACGAGAGCCCCAUGCGGUUGAGCCACUGGCAGUCGGAGGGCGUGGAGGCCAGCAUCCUGGCAGAGCUGGCGAAGCGCGCCUCGGGGCCCAUCUGCCUGCUGCUGGCCUGCCUGCUGUCGCUUGUCUCAGCCACCAGCGCCUGCCGGGUGUUCCAUCUGUGGCCCCUGUCCUUCCUCUGGAGCAAGCUCUCCACAUGCGAGCAGCUCAGGCACCGGCUGGAGCAGCUCACGCUCGUCUUCAGCACCCAGAAGGCCGAGAACGCCACCCAGCUGAUGAGAAAGGCCAAUGUGCUUGUCUCUGUGCUUCUCGAUGUGGCCCUUGGUCUUGCGCUGCUGUCCUGGCUUCAUGGGAAGGACCGGAUCGGACAGCUGGCAGAGGCGCUUGUCCCCGUGGCUGACCAUGUGGCUGAGGAGCUCCAGCAUCUCCUGCAGUGGCUGAUGGGGGCACCUGCUGGGCUGAAGAUGAACCGGGCGCUGGACCAGGUCCUGGGCCGAUUCUUCCUAUACCAUCUGCACCUGUGGAUCAGCUACAUCCACCUCAUGUCCCCCUUCAUCGAGCGCAUCCUGUGGCACGUGGGCCUCUCAGCCUGCCUGGGCCUGACGGUCGCCCUGUCUAUCCUGUCCGACAUCAUCGCUCUCCUCACCUUCCACAUCUACUGCUUCUAUGUCUACGGCGCCAGGCUGUACUGCCUGAAGGUCUGCGGCCUGUCCUCGCUCUGGCGUCUCUUCCGGGGGAAGAAGUGGAAUGUCCUGCGCCAGCGGGUGGACUCCUGCUCCUACGACCUGGACCAGCUGUUCAUCGGGACUUUGCUCUUCACCAUCCUGGUCUUCCUCCUGCCCACCGCAGCCCUGUACUACCUGGUGUUCACCCUGCUCCGGCUCCUGGUGGUGGCCGUGCAGGGCCUGAUCCACGUGCUCGUGGACGUCAUCAACUCCCUGCCGCUGUACUCCCUCGGCCUCCGGCUCUGCCGGCCAUACAGGCUUGCGGAACUUUCUGCCUUGGGAAUUCCCAGGAUGGGAGCACAAACUGUAGGCCAGGGGCACGGAGGGCUCCCGAGCCAGCCGCGCACACAGAAUCUGGAAGACGUUUAGCUGCCAGCAGGGUGGCCACACGCCACCAGGUGCCCGUCCAUCCUGUGGGACAGCCCGCAUCCAUUCGGAAAGAGCACAGCAUGUGCCGCAGUGCCCAGCUGGCUCCCGCUGCCUCCCAGGCCCGCAGCGUCUGUCUGUCCAUGAAGUUCUGUGGAAGCUUUGAUUGUGGCCAGGUGGUCAGCUCAGGGACAGACACGGAGACUGGGUGGAGUGGGGGCGGGUGAGCCCAUGGUGCGUCCCAGCGCCACCCACAGCCUUCUGAGUGCCACCGGAGGCGCAGGGGACUUCUGCCCACACCUGCCUGUGCUGAUGCCGGAGGCCUGGGAGGCUGUCUGCGGGCCCUGCGGGCCUCGGGGAGCCUCCGGCCUCCCUCACGGGCACCUUGCUCCCCCUGCAGCCGGUGUGAAGUUCCGGGUCCUGGAGCACGAGGCUGGGAGGCCCCUCCGCCUCUUGAUGCAGAUAAACCCACUGCCCUACGGUCGCGUGAUCCACACC